GUACACUCCUACGGGAGGCAGCAGUGAGGAAUAUUGAACAAUGGGUGGAAGCCUGAUCCAGCCAUCCCGCGUGCAGGAAGACGGCCCUAUGGGUUGUAAACUGCUUUUAUCUGGGGAUAAACCUACUUACGUGUAAGUAGCUGAAGGUACCAGAAGAAUAAGCACCGGCUAACUCCGUGCCAGCAGCCGCGGUAAUACGGAGGGUGCAAGCGUUAUCCGGAUUUAUUGGGUUUAAAGGGUCCGUAGGCGGACUGAUAAGUCAGUGGUGAAAUCCGACAGCUUAACUGUCGAACUGCCAUUGAUACUGUUAGUCUUGAGUAAGGUUGAAGUGGCUGGAAUAAGUAGUGUAGCGGUGAAAUGCAUAGAUAUUACUUAGAACACCAAUUGCGAAGGCAGGUCACUAAGUCUUAACUGACGCUGAUGGACGAAAGCGUGGGGAGCGAACAGGAUUAGAAACCCUUGUAGUCC
RNAcentral lists this ribosomal RNA (468 nucleotides) under uncultured organism. RNAcentral's name for it is "partial 16S ribosomal RNA". It matches the Rfam family "Bacterial small subunit ribosomal RNA", at positions 331 to 796 of the family's 1533-position model. The record is from RNAcentral.